CAAUAGCGUAUAUUAAAGUUGUUGCAGUUAAAAAGCUCGUAGUUGGAUUUCUGGUGGGAGCGAUCGGUCUGGCGCUUAGCGCGAGUACUUGCAUCGUCUCCGGCCAUCCUUGGGGAGAGUCUGUCUGGCAUUAGGUUGUCGGGCAGAGGAUCCUCAUCGUUUACUGUGAAAAAAUUAGAGUGUUCAAAGCAGGCUUAUGCCGUUGAAUAUAUUAGCAUGGAAUAAUAAGAUAGGACUCUGGUACUAUUUUGUUGGUUUGCGCACCAAAGUAAUGAUUAAUAGGGACAGUUGGGGGUAUUCGUAUUCCGUUGUCAGAGGUGAAAUUCUUGGAUUUACGGAAGACGAACUACUGCGAAAGCAUUUACCAAGGAUGUUUUCAUUAA
Molecule: ribosomal RNA, 383 nt
Filed under: uncultured eukaryote
Lineage: Eukaryota
Description: partial 18S ribosomal RNA
Rfam family: Eukaryotic small subunit ribosomal RNA
Source: RNAcentral